This 506-nucleotide ribosomal RNA is filed under the name uncultured bacterium. RNAcentral's name for it is "partial 16S ribosomal RNA". It matches the Rfam family "Bacterial small subunit ribosomal RNA", at positions 28 to 523 of the family's 1533-position model. The record is from RNAcentral.
GAUGAACGCUAGCUACAGGCUUAACACAUGCAAGUCGAGGGGUAACGAGAGGGAAGCUUGCUUUCCUUGUCGACGACCGGCGCACGGGUGAGUAACGCGUAUCCAACCUGCCCCCAACUAGGGAAUAACCUUGCGAAAGUAAGACUAAUACCCUAUAAUUUCCUCAGAUGUCAUCUGACGAGGAAUAAAGAUUUAUCGGUUGUGGAUGGGGAUGCGUCCGAUUAGCUUGUUGGCGGGGUAACGGCCCACCAAGGCAACGAUCAGUAGGGGUUCUGAGAGGAAGGUCCCCGACAUUGGAACUGAACCACGGUCCAAACUCCUACGGGAGGCAGCAGUGAGGAAUAUUGGUCAAUGGGCGGAAGCCUGAACCAGCCAAGUAGCGUGCAGGAUGACGGCCCUAUGGGUUGUAAACUGCUUUUAUACAGGAAUAAAGUUAGCCACGUGUGGUUAUUUGUAGGUACUGUAUGAAUAAGGACCGGCUAAUUCCGUGCCAGCCGCCGCCGCAG